CUUUACCCAGCGACCCUCAGUCUUCAUCGCCCUCGGCGCCCUCCGAUUCGCCCACUAUUUCCGUCUCGACGCUUUUUAUCUUAACUUGUAUGCUCUCCAGCCGUUUUCUCUAUCGGCCCUCAACGAUGCCCGCUACCGUCGCCGAGCUCAUCCACCGACACAAAGUGGUGGUUUUCUCGUGGGUGCACUGCCCGUAUUGCUCUCGCGCCAAGGAGAUCCUCAAGUCGCUUGCGAAGGAUAUACAAGUUUACGAGUGCGACCAGAUGGACAACGGCGAGGAACUUCGUGCGCAGAUUCUGCAGGCGUACAAUCACGACACAGUGCCGGCGAUCUUCAUCAACGGUGAGUUCAUUGGCGGGUGCAGCGACUUGCAGGCCAUUCAGAAGAGCGGCGAACUGGCUGCGAAGCUUGCGUAAAGUACGACGAGCGCUACCUGAAAGAGGAGUGGGCAAGAGGUGAGCGUGCGCGUGAGCCCUGCAAGUCGUUUUAUUAUCUGUUUAUACUUGCGUGUGUGUGUGUGUGUCUGAAUAUCGCACGUCGCAGUAAAAAUUUCGCACGGUGUGGGGGAGUGGGCCGCCGGCACCCCGUCGACCACGUGUUUCUCUCCUGGUGUGCUUCCACUCACCGCGGGAUGGUGACGCGAGAAAG
Molecule: unclassified non-coding RNA, 648 nt
Filed under: Leishmania donovani
Lineage: Eukaryota; Euglenozoa; Kinetoplastea; Trypanosomatida; Trypanosomatidae
Description: gene:LdHU3.27.1050(CDS-product:glutaredoxin-like_ protein)
Source: RNAcentral